This 471-nucleotide long non-coding RNA is filed under the name Ailuropoda melanoleuca (giant panda). RNAcentral's name for it is "lncRNA (ENSAMEG00000028210.1)". Lineage: Eukaryota; Metazoa; Chordata; Mammalia; Carnivora; Ursidae. The record is from RNAcentral.
GAUUUCUAUUUUAUUUUGUGUAAUUUGUAGAUUUCUCAUUAACCUUGUGAAGCAAAAGCCACAAAUAACAGAAGAACAACUUGAGGCUGUCAUUGCAGAUUUCUCUGGUCUACUGGAAAAGUGCUGCCAAGGCCAAGAGCAGGAAGCCUGAUUUGAGGAAGAGGGUCCAAAACUGAUUGCAAAGACUCGUGCUGCUUUAGGGAGUUUAAAUUACUUCAGGUAACAAAAAAUUCAGACAAGGAUAAAUAUAAUGAUCAUUCUCCCAAAAUACUGAUCUAUAGCGAAAUAUGUCCUAAGACCUACCAUUAAACUUUUUAAAAAAGAUUUUAUUUUUAUUUAUUUGACAUAGAGAGACAGACAGAGAGAGAGAGAGCACAAGCAGGGGGAGCGACAGGCAGAGGGAGAGGGAGAAGCAGGCUUCCUGCUGAGCAGGGAGCCUGAUGUGGGACUCGAUCCCAGGACCCUGGGAUG